Molecule: ribosomal RNA, 776 nt
Filed under: uncultured Neocallimastigales
Lineage: Eukaryota; Fungi; Neocallimastigomycota; Neocallimastigomycetes; Neocallimastigales
Description: partial large subunit ribosomal RNA
Rfam family: Eukaryotic large subunit ribosomal RNA
Source: RNAcentral
AGAGAGAGACAUGCGCGCAUAUCAAUAAGCGGAGGAAAAGAGACUAACAAGGAUUCCCUUAGUAACGGCGAGUGAAGCGGGAAGAGCUCAAAUUUGAAAUCUUCAAGGUUUUACCUUGACGAAUUGUAGUUUAAAGAAGUGUUUUCUGCUGAAGUUUUGGUAAAAGUUCUUUGGAAUAGGACAUCAUAGAGGGUGAGAAUCCCGUAUUUGACCAUUAUUUUCAGCUUUGUGAUACACUAUCAAAGAGUCGGAUUGUUUGGGAAUGCAGUCCAAAAUGGGUGGUAAAUUUCAUCUAAAGCUAAAUAUUGGCGAGAGACCGAUAGCGAACAAGUACCGUGAGGGAAAGAUGAAAAGAACUUUGAAAAGAGAGUUAAACAGUACGUGAAAUUGUCAAAAGGGAAGCGUUUGACACCAGUGUUGUUUUCUCGAAAAUCAAUUAAAAAUGGCUCGAUUUUGUAUUGCUUGAGACCUUAAAAGCUCACUGUACAUUUUUCGUGUCUUUUUUAAUGCACUUUUCGUUUAACAAGUCAACAUCAGUUUCUUUUGUUGUAAAAGGGUCAUUGGAAGGUGGCUUUCUUUUCGGAGAAAGUGUUUAUAGCCUUUGGCCUCUGCAAUCGGAGAGAUUGAGGUCUGCAGCGUAGAUCCUUCGGGGUUAGAUACAUUUGUGCUAAGUUAUAGCCUUUUCAUAGACAACUUGUUGACUAUAAUCAGUCAUGUAGCUUACUCGCUUAUGCUAUUUUACCUACGCUUAGGAUGUUGAAGUCAUCGUAUCGCGC